Molecule: ribosomal RNA, 449 nt
Filed under: uncultured bacterium
Lineage: Bacteria
Description: partial 16S ribosomal RNA
Rfam family: Bacterial small subunit ribosomal RNA
Source: RNAcentral
AACGAACGCUGGCGGCAGGCUUAACACAUGCAAGUCGAACGCAUCCUUCGGGGUGAGUGGCAGACGGGUGAGUAACGCGUGGGAACGUGCCCUUCAGUUCGGGAUAACCCAGGGAAACUUGGGCUAAUACCGGAUACGUGCGAGAGCAGAAAGAUUUAUCGCUGAAGGAUCGGCCCGCGGCUGAUUAGCUAGUUGGUGGGGAAAUGGCCCACCAAGGCGACGAUCAGUAGCUGGUCUGAGAGGAUGAUCAGCCACAUUGGGACUGAAACACGGCCCAAACUCCUACCGGAGGCAGCAGUGGGGAAUAUUGGACAAUGGGCGCAAGCCUGAUCCAGCCAUGCCGCAGGAGUGAUGAAGGCCUUAGGGUUGUAAAGCUCUUUCGUCCGGGACGAUAAUGACGGUACCGGAAGAAGAAGCCCCGGCUAACUUCGUGCCAGCCGCCGCCGUAA